GGCCAUGGGGUCAACAAACCUGGGUAUUAAACUCCUUCCUUUUUAAAAAAUUGAAGCUGACCCACCUGUCAAAACUCAAGUACAUCCUGGCAGGAGAUGAGGUAAAGAAGAUCUGAACACAGUGAUUCAUCAAGACUGAUGAGAAGGUCUACAUUGGUACCCAGCUGGAUUCAUAGAUUUCAUCAUUGAGAAGACGGCUGAAAAUCUUUGUCUGCGAGCAAGAUUUGCUGGCUGGAAGAUGGGGGAUUCGUCUCAAAGUGACUGAUAGAAAAACAAAAGGC
Trichosurus vulpecula (common brushtail) is the source of this 281-nucleotide long non-coding RNA. RefSeq lists it as uncharacterized. The record is from RefSeq and is a predicted model, not a curated record. The transcript is spliced from 3 exons. NCBI's taxonomy places the organism in Eukaryota, Metazoa, Chordata, Mammalia, Diprotodontia, Phalangeridae.